GACGUAGGAUGCGAGCGUUGUUCGGAAUUAUUGGGCGUAAAGCGUGCGUAGGCGGCUAUUUAAGUCUGGUGUUAAAGCUAGGGGCUCAACCCCUGUGUUGCACUGGAAACUGGAUAGCUUGAGUACGGUAGGGGAAGGUGGAAUUCCGAGUGUAGCGGUGAAAUGCGUAGAUAUUCGGAAGAACACCGGUGGCGAAGGCGACCUUCUGGGCCGUCACUGACGCUGAGGCACGAAAGCGUGGGGAGCAAACGGG
Molecule: ribosomal RNA, 253 nt
Filed under: uncultured bacterium
Lineage: Bacteria
Description: partial 16S ribosomal RNA
Rfam family: Bacterial small subunit ribosomal RNA
Source: RNAcentral